RNAcentral lists this ribosomal RNA (372 nucleotides) under uncultured organism. RNAcentral's name for it is "bacterial SSU rRNA". It matches the Rfam family "Bacterial small subunit ribosomal RNA", at positions 526 to 895 of the family's 1533-position model. The record is from RNAcentral.
CGGGGGGAGCAAGCGUUGUUCGGAUUUACUGGGCGUAAAGGGCGUGUAGGCGGCCACCGCAAGUCAGUUGUGAAAGCUCUGGGCUUAACCCAGAAAGGUCAACUGAUACUGCGGGGCUAGAGUGCAGAAGGGGCAACUGGAAUUCUCGGUGUAGCGGUGAAAUGCGUAGAUAUCGAGAGGAACACCUGCGGCGAAGGCGGGUUGCUGGGCUGACACUGACGCUGAAACGCGAAAGCUAGGGGAGCGAACGGGAUUAGAUACCCCGGUAGUCCUAGCCUUAAACGAUGAAUGCUUGGUGUCUGGGGUUUAUAGUCCCCGGGUGCCGUCGCUAACGCUUUAAGCAUUCCGCCUGGGGAGUACGGUCGCAAGACU